This 1319-nucleotide ribosomal RNA is filed under the name metagenome. Its description in RNAcentral is "bacterial LSU rRNA". It matches the Rfam family "Bacterial large subunit ribosomal RNA", at positions 1623 to 2925 of the family's 2925-position model. The record is from RNAcentral.
UAGCGAGCUGGUACAUGGCCCGUACCCCAAACCGACACAGGUGGUCAGGUAGAGAAUACUAAGGCGAUCGAGAACUGUGGUUAAGGAACUCGGCAAAAUGCCCCCGUAACUUCGGGAGAAGGGGGACCAGUCCUGGUGACGACAUUUACUGUCUGAGCUGGGGUUGGUCGCAGAGACCAGAGAGAAGCGACUGUUUACUAAAAACACAGGUCCGUGCGAAGUCGUAAGACGAUGUAUACGGACUGACGCCUCCCCGGUGCUGGAAGGUUAAGAGGACCGGUCAGCCACUUCGGUGGCGAAGCUGAGAAUUUAAGCCCCAGUAAACGGCGGUGGUAACUAUAACCAUCCUAAGGUAGCGAAAUUCCUUGUCGGGUAAGUUCCGACCUGCACGAAUGGCGUAACGACUUCUCUGCUGUCUCAACCACAGACUCGGCGAAAUUGCAGUACGAGUAAAGAUGCUCGUUACGCGCGGCAGGACGAAAAGACCCCGGGACCUUCACUAUAGCUUGGUAUUGGUGUUCGGUUCGGUUUGUGUAGGAUAGGUGGGAGACUGUGAAACUCGCACGCCAGUGUGGGUGGAGUCAUUGUUGAAAUACCACUCUGACCGUAUUGGACAUCUAACCUCGGACCAUGAUCUGGUUCAGGGACAGUGCCUGGUGGGUAGUUUAACUGGGGCGGUUGCCUCCCAAAAAGUAACGGAGGCGCCCAAAGGUUCCCUCAGCCUGGUUGGCAAUCAGGUGUUGAGUGUAAGUGCACAAGGGAGCUUGACUGUGAGACGUACAUGUCGAGCAGGGACGAAAGUCGGGACCAGUGAUCCGGCACCGGCAAGUGGAAGCGGUGUCGCUCAACGGAUAAAAGGUACCCCGGGGAUAACAGGCUGAUCUUCCCCAAGAGUCCAUAUCGACGGGAUGGUUUGGCACCUCGAUGUCGGCUCGUCGCAUCCUGGGGCUGGAGUAGGUCCCAAGGGUUGGGCUGUUCGCCCAUUAAAGCGGCACGCGAGCUGGGUUUAGAACGUCGUGAGACAGUUCGGUCUCUAUCCGCCGCGCGCGUAAGAAACUUGAGGAAACCUGUCCCUAGUACGAGAGGACCGGGACGGACGAACCUCUGGUGUGCCAGUUGUUCCACCAGGAGCACCGCUGGUUAGCUACGUUCGGAAGGGAUAACCGCUGAAAGCAUCUAAGCGGGAAGCCUGUUCCAAGAUGAGGUUUCUCACCACCUAGCGUGGUUAAGGCCCCCCACAGACCAUGGGGUUGAUAGGCCAGAACUGUAAGCACAGCAAUGUGUUCAGGUGACUGGUACUAAUCGGCCGAGGACUUACC